AUGAACGCUGGAGGCGUGCCUAAUACAUGCAAGUCGAGCGAACGGACGAGAAGCUUGCUUCUCUGAUGUUAGCGGCGGACGGGUGAGUAACACGUGGAUAACCUACCUAUAAGACUGGGAUAACUUCGGGAAACCGGAGCUAAUACCGGAUGAUAUUUUGAACCGCAUGGUUCAAAAGUGAAAGACGGUCUUGCUGUCACUUAUAGAUGGAUCCGCGCUGCAUUAGCUAGUUGGUAAGGUAACGGCUUACCAAGGCAACGAUGCAUAGCCGACCUGAGAGGGUGAUCGGCCACACUGGAACUGAGACACGGUCCAGACUCCUACGGGAGGCAGCAGUAGGGAAUCUUCCGCAAUGGGCGAAAGCCUGACGGAGCAACGCCGCGUGAGUGAUGAAGGUCUUCGGAUCGUAAAACUCUGUUAUUAGGGAAGAACAUAUGUGUAAGUAACUGUGCACAUCUUGACGGUACCUAAUCAGAAAGCCACGGCUAACUACGUG
RNAcentral lists this ribosomal RNA (496 nucleotides) under uncultured bacterium. RNAcentral describes it as "partial 16S ribosomal RNA". It matches the Rfam family "Bacterial small subunit ribosomal RNA", at positions 29 to 507 of the family's 1533-position model. The record is from RNAcentral.